This is a non-coding RNA of Solenopsis invicta (red fire ant), 74 nucleotides long. NCBI's taxonomy places the organism in Eukaryota, Metazoa, Arthropoda, Insecta, Hymenoptera, Formicidae. The record is from the annotation of a RefSeq genome assembly.
GGACCAUUAGCUCAGUUGGUCAGAGCGUCGCCCUUUCUAGGCGAAGGUCGCGGGUUCGAUCCCCUCGUGGUCCA